AUUUUAAAAAUAAAAUAAAAAAAAUAAUUAAUCAAAAUAUUUUCAAUUCAUUAAUUUAAUGAAUUAAAAAAAUAAAAAAUUAGUAAAUCUCUAAAAACCAUUCCCUCCAAAAACCGGCAGCGAUUCGAUUUGGCAACGGUGAAGUUUUCUCGUGAAUUUCCUACAGAGAGGAUGAGCAGCCACCAUCCGCUGUCUUUCCUGUCUGUUGGAUUAGCAUAUAUAGUGAAAUGAUUUUGCUCAUUCUAUGUUUGAUGAAAUGCUUAAGAAAAGGCGGUUUGGAGUUCUGAGGUACUAUGCUUAGCCAAGUGAUAGUAAUAAAAGGAAGACAUCGGUAGGUAACAUUUAUUCUUGGAAAUUCGUAGUAGGUUAUUGUUUCAAUUGAUUUUGUUUUAGCAGUAGGCGAUUGUGCUAAAUCUGGUGUGCUUAAGUUGAGCUAUAUUGGGAGAAGUUACGCUUACCCGUUAACGAGGUUAUUUUAUUUCACGUUUUUACCUAACAGGGACGUUCAUCUGUCUCUGUCCCUCUCUCCAAUUGGAAAGUCAACAAGAAUUUCCUGUAUAAUUAGCCUAUUUAGUGCAUGUUUGGCCGGCUUUACGUGCUUUCCAUUGGCCUUUUCUAGCCAGCCGAAUUAGAAUGGUAAUUCAGUUGUGGCAGGUCUGAUUCAUCAAGCAGGCGGUCUUCUCCCACGUGACUGUUUAUCUCCACCCAAGCCUUGUGCAUAGCAUCUGGAUGGUUGUGGAGAAGUGAUAAUGCCCAU
Molecule: long non-coding RNA, 757 nt
Organism: Hevea brasiliensis (rubber tree)
Lineage: Eukaryota; Viridiplantae; Streptophyta; Magnoliopsida; Malpighiales; Euphorbiaceae
Exons: 3
Source: RefSeq, a predicted model, not a curated record